This 288-nucleotide ribosomal RNA is filed under the name Lysinibacillus sphaericus. Its description in RNAcentral is "partial 16S ribosomal RNA". It matches the Rfam family "Bacterial small subunit ribosomal RNA", at positions 1175 to 1462 of the family's 1533-position model. Lineage: Bacteria; Bacillati; Bacillota; Bacilli; Caryophanales; Bacillaceae. The record is from RNAcentral.
GGGGAUGACGUCAAAUCAUCAUGCCCCUUAUGACCUGGGCUACACACGUGCUACAAUGGACGAUACAAACGGUUGCCAACUCGCGAGAGGGAGCUAAUCCGAUAAAGUCGUUCUCAGUUCGGAUUGUAGGCUGCAACUCGCCUACAUGAAGCCGGAAUCGCUAGUAAUCGCGGAUCAGCAUGCCGCGGUGAAUACGUUCCCGGGCCUUGUACACACCGCCCGUCACACCACGAGAGUUUGUAACACCCGAAGUCGGUGAGGUAACCUUUUGGAGCCAGCCGCCGAAGG